RNAcentral lists this ribosomal RNA (466 nucleotides) under uncultured bacterium. RNAcentral describes it as "partial 16S ribosomal RNA". It matches the Rfam family "Bacterial small subunit ribosomal RNA", at positions 28 to 507 of the family's 1533-position model. The record is from RNAcentral.
GAUGAACGCUGGCGGCGUGCUUAACACAUGCAAGUCGAACGAUGAAGCCCAGCUUGCUGGGUGGAUUAGUGGCGAACGGGUGAGUAACACGUGAGUAACCUGCCCUUAACUCUGGGAUAAGCCUGGGAAACUGGGUCUAAUACCGGAUAGGAGCGCCUACCGCAUGGUGGGUGUUGGAAAGAUUUAUCGGUUUUGGAUGGACUCGCGGCCUAUCAGCUUGUUGGUGAGGUAAUGGCUCACCAAGGCGACGACGGGUAGCCGGCCUGAGAGGGUGACCGGCCACACUGGGACUGAGACACGGAGCAGUCUGCUACGUGAGGCAGCAGUGGAGAAUCUGGCACAAUGGGCGAGAGCCUGAUGCAGCGACGCCGCGUGAGGGAUGACGGCCUUCGGGUUGUAAACCUCUUUCAGUUGAGACGAAGCGAAAGUGACGGUACCUGCAGAAGAAGCACCGGCUAACUACGUG